CCCCUUUUUUUUCAAAACAUGUCUUAAUGUUAUUAAAUAUUAAGUCAAACCUGCUCAAUGAUUAUUUAAUUAAAUAGCCGCAGUAUAUUGACUGUGCGAAGGUAGCAUAAUCACUUGUCUUUUAAUUGGAGGCUUGAAUGAAUGGUUUAAUGAGGAAAUUGCUUUCUUUGUGUUAAGUGUUGAAUUUAAUGUUUUAGUUAAAAAGCUUAAAUAUUUAAAUGGGACGAGAAGACCCUGUAGAAUUUUAUUAUUUAUCUUAUAUCUAUUUAUUAGAUAAUUUAUUUAUUUAUCAAUUUAAAUAAUUUUGUUGGGGUGACAGUGAGAUUUUUUUAACUCUCAUAUAUUAAUGCUAUGAUUAAUAUUAUUUAAGAUCCUAUGUUAUGGAUAUUUAGAUUAAAUUACCUCAGGGAUAACAGCGUAAUUUUUUCAGAGAGUUCAUAUUGAUGAAGAAGUUUGCGACCUCGAUGUUGGAUUAAAAUUAGGGUUAAAUGCAGAAGUUUAAUUCCUAGGUCUGGGGGGGGGGGGAAUUUUACAUGAUCUGAGGGGGACCGGAGGGGGU
This 559-nucleotide ribosomal RNA is filed under the name Parabrochymena florida. RNAcentral's name for it is "partial large subunit ribosomal RNA". It matches the Rfam family "Archaeal large subunit ribosomal RNA", at positions 1888 to 2695 of the family's 2987-position model. The record is from RNAcentral. Lineage: Eukaryota; Metazoa; Arthropoda; Insecta; Hemiptera; Pentatomidae.